Juglans regia (Persian walnut) is the source of this 496-nucleotide long non-coding RNA. RefSeq lists it as uncharacterized. Lineage: Eukaryota; Viridiplantae; Streptophyta; Magnoliopsida; Fagales; Juglandaceae. The transcript has 4 exons. The record is from RefSeq and is a predicted model, not a curated record.
CUCCUCCCCUUUUGAGUUCUCCCUCUUCCCCGACGGGUUUCUUCCCAGUUCUCUAUCUUCCGUAAAUCUCUUCAUCUCACCCACCCCCACGUUUCGUCAGUUUACCUUCUCCUUACAUCAAGAUUUUUCCCUCUCAACAAAUCGGGCUACUCUCAAACUCUCCUCCUCUACGAUUUUCUUCACCAUUUCUUUUGGGCUGCAGAAUUCAUGACCUCUCCAAUAAUUUUUCGUUAUCAUCGAUUUGUUCCACACGUCUACUCGUGGGUCUCGAGAUUCUAGUGUUGUCGUCGAGCCUUGCAACGAAACUACUAGAUUGAGUAUUUUUCUCCAUAUAGCAGUGCCCCUUGUGUUUGUCAGUUGUUUGUCAGGUGUUGUCAUAGAGUCCAACGCCGGUGGUGUUAUUACUAGAAUUCGGACUCCAGGCAUAGAGAAUACACGGAAGUCAGGUAAGCGGGGUUCAUAUACUAGUUUUGCAUAAAGGAAAUGAAAUGAGGUU